This 194-nucleotide non-coding RNA is filed under the name Leeuwenhoekiella marinoflava. Lineage: Bacteria; Pseudomonadati; Bacteroidota; Flavobacteriia; Flavobacteriales; Flavobacteriaceae. The record is from RNAcentral.
UUUUCAUCUAACGGAAUAGGUUACACAUAACGUGCAUUAAUAGGGAAUCUGGUGCAAAUCCAGAGCUGUCGCGCAACUGUAAGUAACACAAAACAAAGCUUUAACCGUAGUAAUCCACUGUCUUCACAAUCAAGAUGGGAAGGAUGGUAAAAGCUGUUAUAAGUCAGGAGACCUGCCUGUUCCGCUAGGACUUU